RNAcentral lists this ribosomal RNA (775 nucleotides) under uncultured Neocallimastigales. RNAcentral describes it as "partial large subunit ribosomal RNA". It matches the Rfam family "Eukaryotic large subunit ribosomal RNA", at positions 24 to 644 of the family's 3401-position model. Lineage: Eukaryota; Fungi; Neocallimastigomycota; Neocallimastigomycetes; Neocallimastigales. The record is from RNAcentral.
UAUCUCUGUAGAGUCUGCAUAUCAAUAAGCGGAGGAAAAGAAACUAACAAGGAUUCCCUUAGUAAUGGCGAGUGAAGCGGGAAGAGCUCAAAUUUGAAAUCUUCAAGGUUCUACCUUGACGAAUUGUAGUUUAAAGAAGUGUUUUCUGUUAGAUGAGUAGCAAAAGUUCCUUGGAAUGGGACAUCAUAGAGGGUGAGAAUCCCGUAUUUGGUUAUUCAUUCUAGCUUUGUGAUACACUUUCAAAGAGUCGGAUUGUUUGGGAAUGCAGUCCAAAAUGGGUGGUAAAUUUCAUCUAAAGCUAAAUAUUGGCGAGAGACCGAUAGCGAACAAGUACCGUGAGGGAAAGAUGAAAAGAACUUUGAAAAGAGAGUUAAACAGUACGUGAAAUUGUCAAAAGGGAAGCGUUUGACACCAGUGUUGUUUUUCCGAAAAUCAAUUACGAAUGGCUUGAUUUUGUGUUGUAUUGACCUUAUAAGCUUUCUUCACUUUUUUCGAGUCUUUCUUAAUGCACUUUUCGGUUAACAAGUCAACAUCAAUUUCUUUUGUUGUAAAAGAGUAUUCGGAAGGUGGCUUUCUUUUCGGAGAAAGUGUUUAUAGCCCUAUACUUCUACAAUCGGAGAGAUUGAGGUCUGCAGCGUAGAUCCUUCGGGGUUAGAUACACUUGUGCUAAGUUGUAGCUUUUCAUAGACAACUUGUUGACUAUGUUUAGUCAUGCGGCUUACUCGCUUAGUGCUAUUUUACCUACGCUUAGGAUGUUGACUGAUAUGUAGUCGUA